GACGAACGCUGGCGGCGUGCCUAACACAUGCAAGUCGAACGGAAAGGCCCUGCUUUUGUGCGGUGCUCGUGUGGCGAACGGGUGAGUAACACGUGUGUAACCUGCCCUUGUCUUUCGGAUAACUUCAGGAAACUGGGGAUAAUACCGGAUAGGAGCUACUGCUCCACGGUGGGGGUUGGAAAGUUUCGGCGGUUGGGGAUGGACUAGCGGCUUACCAGCUUGGUGGUGGAGUAGUGGCUUACCAAGGCUAUGACGGAUAGCCGGCCUGGGAGGGUGGCCGGGCACAAUGGGACUGAGAGACGGAGCAGACGGCAACGGGAGGCAACGGGGGGGAGUAUUACACAGUGAGCGGGAGUCAGAUACAACAGCGCCGCGAUCGGGAAGACGGGCUACUGGGUGAGAACCGCUGUCGCCUGAGACGAAGCGGGAGUGACGGUAAUGGGUAAAGAAGCACCGGCUAACUACGUG
Molecule: ribosomal RNA, 468 nt
Filed under: uncultured bacterium
Lineage: Bacteria
Description: partial 16S ribosomal RNA
Rfam family: Bacterial small subunit ribosomal RNA
Source: RNAcentral